ACAAUGGUGGUUCAAUGGUAGAAUUCUUGCCUUCCACGAGGAAAACCUGGGUUUGAUUCCCAGCCAAUGUA
This 71-nucleotide transfer RNA is filed under the name Loxodonta africana (African savanna elephant). It matches the Rfam family "tRNA". From Rfam's summary of the family: Transfer RNA (tRNA) molecules are approximately 80 nucleotides in length. Their secondary structure includes four short double-helical elements and three loops (D, anti-codon, and T loops). Lineage: Eukaryota; Metazoa; Chordata; Mammalia; Proboscidea; Elephantidae. The record is from Rfam by way of RNAcentral.